RNAcentral lists this ribosomal RNA (280 nucleotides) under Vibrio alginolyticus. RNAcentral's name for it is "partial 16S ribosomal RNA". It matches the Rfam family "Bacterial small subunit ribosomal RNA", at positions 100 to 383 of the family's 1533-position model. The record is from RNAcentral. RNAcentral also lists the same sequence under 2 other names. Lineage: Bacteria; Pseudomonadati; Pseudomonadota; Gammaproteobacteria; Vibrionales; Vibrionaceae.
GGACGGGUGAGUAAUGCCUAGGAAAUUGCCCUGAUGUGGGGGAUAACCAUUGGAAACGAUGGCUAAUACCGCAUGAUGCCUACGGGCCAAAGAGGGGGACCUUCGGGCCUCUCGCGUCAGGAUAUGCCUAGGUGGGAUUAGCUAGUUGGUGAGGUAAGGGCUCACCAAGGCGACGAUCCCUAGCUGGUCUGAGAGGAUGAUCAGCCACACUGGAACUGAGACACGGUCCAGACUCCUACGGGAGGCAGCAGUGGGGAAUAUUGCACAAUGGGCGCAAGCC